CAGCCGCCGCGGUAAUACGUAGGGGGCGAGCGUUGUCCGGAAUUAUUGGGCGUAAAGGGUUCGUAGGCGGUAAUACAUGUCAGAUGUGAAAUCUUGUGGCUUAACCACAUCAAGCAUCUGAAACUGUAUAACUUGAGUGGAGGAGAGGUAAGUGGAAUUCCUAGUGUAGCGGUGAAAUGCGUAGAUAUUAGGAAGAAUACCAGUAGCGAAGGCGACUUACUGGCCUCUAACUGACGCUGAUGAACGAAAGCGUGGGUAGCAAACAGGAUUAGAUACCCUGGUAGUCCACGCCGUAAACGAUGAGUGCUAGGUGUCGGGAGUCAAAUCUCGGUGCCGUAGUUAACGCAAUAAGCACUCCGCCUGGGGAGUACGUGCGCAAGCAUGAAACUCAAAGGAAUUGACGGGGACCCGCACAAGCAGCGGAGCAUGUGGUUUAAUUCGAAGCAACGCGAAGAACCUUACCAGGACUUGACAUACUAGUGCCAAAUGUAGAGAUACAUUAUUUCUUCGGAACACUAAUACAGGUGGUGCAUGGCC
RNAcentral lists this ribosomal RNA (537 nucleotides) under uncultured archaeon. RNAcentral's name for it is "bacterial SSU rRNA". It matches the Rfam family "Bacterial small subunit ribosomal RNA", at positions 509 to 1050 of the family's 1533-position model. The record is from RNAcentral.